GCCGUUUCAGAGCACUUUAUUGUUCAUUGACUUAAGUACAAAAACUUUUUCAAUUGGAGAAACAAGGCCACAAAAUUAAGGUUUAAUAAAGAUUUUACAGUUUGGAGAGUACAAUACAUAGUACUACAGUACUACUACAUAGUACUACAGUACUACUACAUAGUACUACUACAUAGUAGUACUACAGUACUACAGUACUACUACAUAGUACUACAACAUAGUACUAGGUUUUACAAUGUUGAUGCAGCUUGAAAGUUGUGUGUGUCAGUGGGACCCGAUUCCCAUAAUGCAUUACCUUUGUCAGGGAAUACAGUUGAAGUCAGAAUUUAACAUACACUUAGGUUGGAGUCAUUCAAACUCAUUUUUCAACCACUACACAAAUGUCUUGUUAACAAAUUAGUUUUGGCAAGUUGGUUAGGACAUCUAGUGUGUGCAUGACACAAGUCAUUUUUCCAACUAUCUGUUUUAGAUUAUCUCACUUAUAAUUCACUGUAUCACAAUUCCAGUUGGUCAGAAGUUUACAUACACUAAGUUGACUGUGCCUUUAAACAGAUUGGAAAAUUCUAGAAAAUGUCAUGGCUUUAGAAGCUUCUGAUAGGCUAAUUGACAUAAUUUGAGUCAAUUGGAGGUGUACCUGUGGAUGUAUUUCAAGGCCUACCUUCAAACUCAGUGCCUCUUCGCUUGACAUCAUGGGAAAAUCAAAAGAAAUCAACCAAGACCUCAGAAUGUGUUUUUACGUACUUUGAUGAGAAAAGUGCAAAUCAAUCCCAGAACAACAGCAAAGGACAUUGUAAAGUUGCUGGAGGAAACAGGUACAAAAGUAUCUACAUCCACAGUAAAACGAGUACUAUAUCGACAUAACCUGAAAGGCCACUCAGCAAGGAAGAAGCCACUGCUCCUAAACCGCCAUAAAAAAGCCAGACUACGGUUUGCAACUACAUAUGGGGACAUAGAUGGUACUUUUUGGAGAAAUGUCCUCUGCUCUGAUGAAACAAAUGGAACUGUUUGGCCAUAAUGACCAUCGUUAUGUUUGGAGGAAAAAAGGGGGAUGCUUGCAAGCCGAAGAACACCAUCCCAACCGUGAAGCACGGGGGUGGCAGCACCAUGUUGUGGGGGUGCUUUGCUGCAGGAGGGACUGGUUCACUUCACAAAAUAGAUGGCAUCAUGAGGGGGGAAAAUUAUGUGGAUAUAUUGAAGCAACAUCUCAAGACAUAAGACUUAACUGACCGGGGAAUUUUUUACGAGGAUUAAAUUUCAGAAAUUGUGGAAAAACUGAGUUUAAAUAUAUUUGGCUAAGGUGUAUGUAAACUUUUGACUUCAACGGUAUAUUCCCUGUAUAGUGCACUACUUUUGAGAGAAGGGUGCUACUUAGGACACAGCUGUUGAUUUAGAAGCACACAGCCAGUCUUCCUGUGAUCUACCAUUAAAUAACAUGACUAAUACAGUAGUGUUCGGAUCUCACAAACAAGAUGGACGACAAAGAUAGUCUCAAAAAAAAAAUCACUGUCCCGAAUGACCCCCCAAUUCCCUAUUUAGUGCACUACUUUUGUCCUCUGGUAGUGUACUAUAAAGGGAAGAGACUGUCAUUUGGGAUAUACCUUUUGUAGAGUAUCUGCUGAGUAGCCUUGAUUCAGCAUUAUACACAUUAUGCGUCAUAAUACACAAGUGGCUAUCAUCAACGCAGUGUUUAUAUUAUUACUGUGUUCCUGCACUUUAACCUUUUAAAAGAACAACUCUAAAAACAAAAAAAAAGAUCAACUUUUUAAAACAUUUAUUUUAUACACAAACAAAAAAAAGGGGGAAAAUUAAAUAGCUACAUGUCAUUAAACAAAUUGAUCCUCAAAAAAUACCUACAAUUUUCUCUGUACAAUCGUUACGCACAGCGUAAUGAUGGUCUCAUAAUUAACUAUAUAUAAAAAGUUGUUUUUUUAUUAAGUGAUUUUCCUACAGCGUGUAGGGCAUUGUGUUGCCAUAGCAGAAUGAGUGAGAGCCUCCAAAUGUUUUUGAAAAAUUCUGGUAGCUUUCCAAAAAAAUAAUAAUUCCCAGGUCACCGGAAAUGUGCGACCCUAGUGACGCGUUUUUAUAACGAAAUGACCUCUGGACACUACACCUCUUCCCUUUCUGUUCAUGCACAUUAUAAUUGAUCAUUCUUUUAAAGGACAUUAUCAACGUUUUAGUUCUCUCAUAACAUUUACCGAAAGUACAAUGUGAAAAUCAACCAGUCAUCUUUGAAGAACUAUACAUUAGUUUUUGUUUAAAUCUGAACUCAGAUUAAAGUCAAUAAUAAUAACAUCAACUGACUAGCAGCUGGAUCAGCUCUGAGAGAAUAUGGUUUAGUUUCAGCUGGAUCCGGUCUCUGAGAAAAUAUGGUUUAGGUUCAGCUGGAUCCGGUCUCUGAGAGAAUAUGGUUUAGUUUCAGCUGGAUCCGGUCUCUGAGAGAAUAUGGUUUAGGUUCAGCUGGAUCCGGUCUCUGAGAGAAUAUGGUUUAGGUUCAGCUGGAUCCGGUCUCUGAGAGAAUAUGGUUUAGGUUCAGCUGGAUCCGGUCUCUGAGAGAAUAUGGUUUAGGUUCAGCUGGAUCCAGUCUCUGAGAGAAUAUGGUUUAGGUUCAGCUGGAUCCGGUCUCAGAGAGAAUAUGGUUUAGGUUCAGCUGGAUCCGGUCUCUGAGAGAAUAUGGUUUAGGCUCCGUCCCUAAUGACAUCCCUAAUCGUUAUGCACUAAAUGUGGCCAGACAAAGUGUGAAGCUUUACAUUGGGAAUAGGGUUCCAUGUAGGACGUGUAGCCUUGGUGUAGUUACAGGAACUAUAGAUUUGACUUGGGAUGAUGGAAUGUAAGGGCAUAUAAGAGCUGUAUAGACAGUGCUUCAUCAACCCUUAAGCUUUAACCAUGUUCUGUCACCUUCACCACUAGAUUUGCACCUUACGGUUACAUCCCCCAAAAUUCUCAGGUUUUCUAUCAAUUCUGGUUGUUUGGAAGAUUUGUGGAUUUUCCAACCAGGAUUUUCCGGAAAAAAAUCAAGGAAUUUUCAGGGAAUGUUUCCGGAAUGUUGCAACACUAAAUCACCACCUUUCUGUUACUAAGUUAGUAGCUAUACUAAUACUGAUAUGAAUGCAACACCUGUCCUAGGUUCCCUAUAGGAAGGAAUGUCUGCUGCCUUGGUACAGGAGUUAGUAAAACAAGUUCGUUUCACAAGCUGCAGCUGCCUAUCUACCCAGUGAGCAAAAUAGUUUGAAAGACUUAUUUUCAACAUCUUGUGCUCAUAAGAUGCAUUCCGCUACACACCCACAGUUGUUCAUCAGAGAAGUAGAAACAACAACGACAUGAAAAACACAACAUUUAAAAAAAAACUAGUGGACAGAAAGAAAAAGAAGGUUCUGAUAAAAGGUCGACUCUGGGUCGAUCUCGCCGGCUGGUUUGUUGCGUUAAUUCCAUUUUCAGUCAUGCAGAACAAAAAACGCAGUAGCAUCCAGGGAUUAUCAAUAACGCUAUAGAACGAUUACGGUAACGUUACAGAAAACAUAUUAUUGUUAUAGAUUAGAAUCUAAACUGAUCAUAUAGAAGAGUACAGAAGGCCUGUCCGGAGGCUGUCCUCUGUGUCGCUAGCUGGUUGCUACCAGAGAGAACUGAAGAAUACUACAUAUUAACAUGGAGUCUAACUGGACCAGCAGUAAAUGCAGCUACAACGGAUGUUGUUAUUGCAGAAAACAAAUAUAUAAAACAAAAACAAUGUAACUUGUAAUAAGAUUGAAAUGUCUAAUAAACAUGAAUAGAUACCAGCUAUUUAAAAACAAAAUAUCCACCUUAUUCUGUAAGCACUACUUUUACUUGACCAAUUAAACCAGAGAGCAAAAUUCUACCUACCACACCACAGUGCCGCAGAGAGAAACAUAAUCUACCUACCACACCACAGUGCCGCAGAGAGAGACAUAAUCUACCUCUACCUACCACACCACAGUGCCGCAGAGAGACAUAAUCUACCUACCACACCACAGUGCCGCAGAGAGACAUAAUCUACCUCUACCUACCACACCACAGUGCUGCAGAGAGA
Long non-coding RNA from Oncorhynchus tshawytscha (Chinook salmon), 4045 nucleotides. NCBI's taxonomy places the organism in Eukaryota, Metazoa, Chordata, Actinopteri, Salmoniformes, Salmonidae. The record is from Ensembl.